RNAcentral lists this ribosomal RNA (694 nucleotides) under Bacillus cereus. RNAcentral's name for it is "bacterial SSU rRNA". It matches the Rfam family "Bacterial small subunit ribosomal RNA", at positions 72 to 749 of the family's 1533-position model. The record is from RNAcentral. Lineage: Bacteria; Bacillati; Bacillota; Bacilli; Caryophanales; Bacillaceae.
UUAAGAGCUUGCUCUUAUGAAGUUAGCGGCGGACGGGUGAGUAACACGUGGGUAACCUGCCCAUAAGACUGGGAUAACUCCGGGAAACCGGGGCUAAUACCGGAUAACAUUUUGAACCGCAUGGUUCGAAAUUGAAAGGCGGCUUCGGCUGUCACUUAUGGAUGGACCCGCGUCGCAUUAGCUAGUUGGUGAGGUAACGGCUCACCAAGGCAACGAUGCGUAGCCGACCUGAGAGGGUGAUCGGCCACACUGGGACUGAGACACGGCCCAGACUCCUACGGGAGGCAGCAGUAGGGAAUCUUCCGCAAUGGACGAAAGUCUGACGGAGCAACGCCGCGUGAGUGAUGAAGGCUUUCGGGUCGUAAAACUCUGUUGUUAGGGAAGAACAAGUGCUAGUUGAAUAAGCUGGCACCUUGACGGUACCUAACCAGAAAGCCACGGCUAACUACGUGCCAGCAGCCGCGGUAAUACGUAGGUGGCAAGCGUUAUCCGGAAUUAUUGGGCGUAAAGCGCGCGCAGGUGGUUUCUUAAGUCUGAUGUGAAAGCCCACGGCUCAACCGUGGAGGGUCAUUGGAAACUGGGAGACUUGAGUGCAGAAGAGGAAAGUGGAAUUCCAUGUGUAGCGGUGAAAUGCGUAGAGAUAUGGAGGAACACCAGUGGCGAAGGCGACUUUCUGGUCUGUAACUGACACUGA